AAAGAGAACAAGAUGAACUUAGAACCAACUACACCAGAGUUAAAGAACAGCUUCAACUUCAUGAUGAUCUGAAGAGGAUGCAGCAGUAUGCAGUGGAUGUGACUCUGGAUCCUGGAUACAGCUCAUCCAUAUCUCAUCCUGUCUGAUGAUGGAAAACAAGUGAGCUGUGGAGAUAUUGGACAGAAACUCCCAGACAAACCAGAGAGAUUUAAUAGCACUGUAAGUGUCCUGGGAAAGGAGGGAUUCUCCUCUGGGAGAUUUUAUUUUGAGGUGCAGGUGAAGGGAAAGACUGACUGGAGUUUAGGAGUGGCCAGAGAAUCCAUUAACAGGAAGGGACAGAUCAUACUGACUCCCAGUAGAGGAUUCUGGACUGUGUGGCUGAGGAAUGAGAAUGAAUAUGCAGCUCUCUCUGAUCCCUUUGUCUCUCUGUCUCUGAGGGUGAAGCCGCAGCGGGUCGGUGUGUUUGUGGAUUAUGAGGAGGGUCUGGUCUCCUUUUAUGAUGUGAAGUCCAGCUCUCAUAUCUACUCUUACACUGGUCAGUCUUUCACUGGGAAACUCUAUCCUUAUUUUAGCCCAUAUCUAAACAAUAAAGGUAAAAACUCAGCUCCACUGAUCAUCACACCUGUCUAAUACAAUAAAUGAAUUUACUGUAUACCUAAUGUGAAA
Long non-coding RNA from Megalobrama amblycephala (Wuchang bream), 666 nucleotides. RefSeq lists it as uncharacterized. The record is from RefSeq and is a predicted model, not a curated record. The transcript is spliced from 3 exons. Lineage: Eukaryota; Metazoa; Chordata; Actinopteri; Cypriniformes; Xenocyprididae.